GACGAACGCUGGCGGCGUGCUUAACACAUGCAAGUCGAACGGAAAGGCCCUGCUUUUGUGGGGUGCUCGAGUGGCGAACGGGUGAGUAACACGUGAGUAACCUGCCCUUGACUUUGGGAUAACUUCAGGAAACUGGGGCUAAUACCGGAUAGGAGCUCCUGCUGCAUGGUGGUGGUUGGAAAGUUUCGGCGGUUGGGGAUGGACUCGCGGCUUAUCAGCUUGUUGGUGGGGUAGUGGCUUACCAAGGCUUUGACGGGUAGCCGGCCUGAGAGGGUGACCGGCCACAUUGGGACUGAGAUACGGCCCAGACUCCUACGGGAGGCAGCAGUGGGGAAUAUUGCACAAUGGGCGGAAACCUGAUGCAGCAACGCCGCGUGCGGGAUGACGGCCUUCGGGUUGUAAACCGCUUUCGCCUGUGACGAAGCGUGAGUGACGGUAAUGGGUAAAGAAGCACCGGCUAACUACGUG
Molecule: ribosomal RNA, 468 nt
Filed under: uncultured bacterium
Lineage: Bacteria
Description: partial 16S ribosomal RNA
Rfam family: Bacterial small subunit ribosomal RNA
Source: RNAcentral